Molecule: ribosomal RNA, 459 nt
Filed under: uncultured bacterium
Lineage: Bacteria
Description: partial 16S ribosomal RNA
Rfam family: Bacterial small subunit ribosomal RNA
Source: RNAcentral
CUACGGGUGGCUGCAGUGAGGAAUAUUGGACAAUGGUCGAAAGACUGAUCCAGCCAUGCCGCGUGCAGGAUGACUGCCCUAUGGGUUGUAAACUGCUUUUAUACGGGAAGAAAAACACCUACGUGUAGGUGACUGACGGUACCGUAAGAAUAAGGACCGGCUAACUCCGUGCCAGCAGCCGCGGUAAUACGGAGGGUCCAAGCGUUAUCCGGAAUCAUUGGGUUUAAAGGGUCCGUAGGCGGGCUAUUAAGUCAGAGGUGAAAGUUUGCAGCUCAACUGUAAAAUUGCCUUUGAUACUGAUAGUCUUGAAUUGUAGUGAAGUGGUUAGAAUAUGUGGUGUAGCGGUGACAUGCAUAGAUAUCACAUAGAAUACCGAUUGCGAAGGCAGAUCACUAACUAUAUAUUGACGCUGAGGGACGAAAGCGUGGGGAGCGAACGGGAUUAGAUACCCUUGUAGUC